RNAcentral lists this ribosomal RNA (449 nucleotides) under uncultured bacterium. Its description in RNAcentral is "partial 16S ribosomal RNA". It matches the Rfam family "Bacterial small subunit ribosomal RNA", at positions 29 to 523 of the family's 1533-position model. The record is from RNAcentral.
AAUGAACGCUGGCGGCAGGCCUAACACAUGCAAGUCAAACGGAUCCUUCGGGAUUAGUGGCGGACGGGUGAGUAACGCGUGGGAACAUACCCAAAGGUACGGAAUAGCCUCGGGAAACUGGGAGUAAUACCGUAUGUGCUCGAAAGAGGAAAGAUUUAUCGCCUUUGGAUUGGCCCGCGUUGGAUUAGGUAGUUGGUGGGGUAAUGGCCUACCAAGCCGACGAUCCAUAGCUGGUUUGAGAGGAUGAUCAGCCACACUGGGACUGAGACACGGCCCAGACUACUACGGGAGGCAGCAGUGGGGAGUCUUAGACAAUAGGGGAAACCCUGAUCUAGCCAUGCCGCGUGAUCGAUGAAGGCCUUAGGGUUGUAAAGAUCUUUCAGGUGGGAAGAUAAUGACUGUACCACCAGAAGAAGCCCCGGCUAACUCCGUGCCAGCCGCCGCCGUAA